Molecule: long non-coding RNA, 659 nt
Filed under: Toxoplasma gondii VEG
Lineage: Eukaryota; Apicomplexa; Conoidasida; Eucoccidiorida; Sarcocystidae
Source: RNAcentral
GCGCAUGCACCCACAAAACGUCGCUGGGCUGUAGUGGUCUAAGCUGGCGCGCGGAGGCAACACGUGUGGAGUCUUCUAAAAAACACCGCCAUCAAUUUUACGUCGUGGUCGGACUACGCCGGUGUGUGUGAGGCUACACGGAACUGCAUGAGCCUGGACAGCGGGCUUCAUACGAUUUCGCACGGACGUGUUCGUUGGAUAUUUUCACUUUCCUUUCCUUUCCUCAAAUCAGCGUCUCAAGUGACCCCAUAUAUGGUUUCUGGUCGCGAGGGGAAGUCGCAAGUUUUGCCGGCACAGUUCUUCAUCCCACUGCCUCAUCGUGUGAUAUGGAAAAGAACGGAACCUGCUGACUGAUGUGUCCGAAAAAUACACGUGGAUGCGCUGCUGCAGAUUGUAGGGUUAUCAUCCUUAGGAGGAGACUGCUAGACUGCUAUUGAGUGGCUAGCCAAUGAAAGGGGGAGACCUGUCUAUAAAUCUGUUGUAGCAUUUGCAUGCUGAGUCACCUACGUCUUGAUUUUGCACACGCUGGUGGUUUGAAGUCGCCGAGAAAGAUUGGCGCAACUUGCAUCGGUAACGAAGUGCUACAAGAGUAACCGAUGAAUCUGCCUCCUGAACUCCCACUUGUUUUUGCUAAUCGUGCAUCAGCAUUCCUUUGCCCU